GUACUCUCCCUGGAAACCUAGUUUUUACUACUACUACUACUACUACUAUUGCUGCUGUUGCCAUGGCAACAACUGCCAUCACAACAACUACUACCGUUCAUCCAGUUCAGCAAGGCAGAGUUCUCUGCUCAACCAACAAUAACAAUCAUGGUGAUUUAACAGGGAGAGUUGAGUUGCAGUACAAGGUGGCGCAUUAAAAAUGGUGGAGGGAGGUGACAUCUUGGAGGUUGUCCAGGACUCCCCGUUAUGUGCUGAAGCGCUACUGUAGAGAGAGGAAGAGAAGAAGACAACAGGUGACAGACAAAAGAGGAGCCCAUUGGCCAAGUGAAGAGUGGAAAUGGAAACAAAUGAAAAAGCACACAACAGCCUGGUAAAAGCAGCAGGGUCCUGCAGAUAUGAGCUGGCAUCUGACUGCCUGCUGUGUCUCCAACAUGGUCUGCCAGCCUGCUGAAGAUAGCCAAGGACAUCAAAGAAACCGCCAUCCAGACGCCCUCGUAGGUGACGCUAUUCCCUGCCAGCUUUUGGAUUUAUACACGCCAAAAUGACACAACCAUCUGAAUUGGAUACCUGACAAGAUCCUUUCAAUACGUUCAUUAUGGAUUUAAAAAAUCCCUGGAUUGCUGCGUUCCUUCUAGCCCACACUCAAACUAAUUCAAUGCUUCUAAAUCCAUGAGAGGUGGUGAACAAAUGUACGUGUCAGGAGAGAAUGGACCCGGGUUUGAUUGUCUGCCAACCUGAGGUCCUACGCUCUAGUCGUGUUUGUUGGUGACUAAAUGGCAGUGACAAUAUCCCUUUACGAAACACGA
This is a long non-coding RNA of Sebastes umbrosus (honeycomb rockfish), 806 nucleotides long. RefSeq lists it as uncharacterized. The transcript is spliced from 3 exons. NCBI's taxonomy places the organism in Eukaryota, Metazoa, Chordata, Actinopteri, Perciformes, Sebastidae. The record is from RefSeq and is a predicted model, not a curated record.